Molecule: long non-coding RNA, 1036 nt
Organism: Lathyrus oleraceus (garden pea)
Lineage: Eukaryota; Viridiplantae; Streptophyta; Magnoliopsida; Fabales; Fabaceae
Exons: 2
Source: RefSeq, a predicted model, not a curated record
AACUAGGGGUGGACAUCGGUUGGGUUGGAUCGGUUUUCGGGCCCAAAUUCCCAAUCCGACCUAACCAUCGGUUGGAAAAAACAUAACCAAAACCGACCGGUUUGCAAUUCGGUUAUUUUCGGUUUCGGUUUUGUUCGGUUCGGUUUCAUAAUGCGGUUUAUUCGGUUUUAAAAAUAAUUGAGCUCAUUCCAAAAUAAACCCAACACAAGUGGAUUUUAUCUAGGAUUUAAAUAGCACAAUUUUAUACUAGUCUUUAAACUUUUAGUUUACUUAUGAACAAAAAAAUAAAACAAUAUAUCUUAAAACUUAUGAAAUUGCUGCAUUUUUCGGAAAUGGAUUGAACAAUCAUUGUUAACAUUUGUAUUCUAAAUUUCUACUCAUAUUAUAUCUAUCUUGCUGACAUGGAUACAGGGCCGUUCAAUGUAACAAAUGUCUUUGAGUUCCAUAAUGGACGGUGGUAUAUGGUUCAUCAUCACAGUUCUGUGAUGAAUGGGGAUGUAGAGCAACAAAUUAUGCAUGGAUAGUAAUAGUAAGAGAGAUGAUAUGUUAUUAUGUCUGAUACUGGUCUCAGAAAAGGAAAUUGCAAUGGGGCCAAAAAAGUGUGAAAAAUAGAUUAAGUGGAUUAAAGUAAAUACAAAAGAUCGAUGGAAAAGAUUACAUGUGAAUCAACGUCCAAUACAUCGGUGAGACUUGUGAAAAACCAAGGCUGUGCAGUUGCAGGAGUUACUAAUUCAAAAGUAUAGUCCAAUUUUGGCGUGCAUUUUAGUUCUCUAGCAGUGUGUGCAUUUUUCAAUAUUGUAAGAGACAAGUCCAUUCCGGCAAUGCAAUAUCCAAUCAACCUUCAAUGCAAUAUCCAAUCAACCUUACCUAUAGAUGAUCAUCAAUCAACAAUCGUAUAUAUAAGAGCUAGUGCAUAACAAUUUCUAUAACAAAAGAUAAAAUCAAAUCAAAUUCUUUUCAUAAGCUAUUACCAAGUUCAAGUGAUGAACACGCGUUAACACCUUAAGCUCGGCAAAAAAUUCUUUUGAUGCUUUCA